CCAAUAGCGUAUAUUAAAGUUGUUGCAGUUAAAAAGCUCGUAGUUGAAUUUCGGGAUUGGCGCAUCGGUCGUGCCUCACGGGGUAUGAACUGGUGCAGUCAAUUUCUCACCUUCUGGAGAACCGCGAUGUCCUUAAUAGGGUGCCGCGGGGAACCAGGACCUUUACUUUGAAACAAUUAGAGUGUUUAAAGCAGGCAUUUUUGCUUGAAUACAUUAGCAUGGAAUAAUAAAAUAGGACGGCAUGGUUCUAUUUUGUUGGUUUCUAGGACCACCGUAAUGAUUAAUAGGGAUAGUUGGGGGCAUUAGUAUUCAAUUGUCAGAGGUGAAAUUCUUGGAUUUAUUGAAGACUAACUACUGCGGAAGCAUUUGCCAAGGAUGUUUUCAUUAAUCAAGAACGAAAGUUAGGGGAUCGAAGACGAUCAGAUACCGUCGUAGUCUUAACCAUAAACUAUGCCGACUAGGAAUCAGACGAUGUUAAUUUUUUAAUGACUCGUUUGGCACCUUACG
RNAcentral lists this ribosomal RNA (507 nucleotides) under uncultured Glomeromycotina. RNAcentral describes it as "partial small subunit ribosomal RNA". It matches the Rfam family "Eukaryotic small subunit ribosomal RNA", at positions 591 to 1092 of the family's 1831-position model. Lineage: Eukaryota; Fungi; Glomeromycota. The record is from RNAcentral.